RNAcentral lists this ribosomal RNA (244 nucleotides) under uncultured bacterium. RNAcentral describes it as "partial small subunit ribosomal RNA". It matches the Rfam family "Bacterial small subunit ribosomal RNA", at positions 26 to 285 of the family's 1533-position model. The record is from RNAcentral.
AGAAUCAACGCUGGCGGCGUGCCUAACACAUGCAAGUCGAACGAGAAAGUGGAGCAAUCCACAAGUAAAGUGGCGCACGGGUGAGUAACACGUGACUAACCUACCCUUGAGUGGGGGAUAACCUAGAGAAUCUGGGCUAAUACCGCAUAAUACCUUCGGGUCAAAGGAGCAAUUCGCUUAAGGAGGGGGUCGCGGCCGAUUAGUUAGUUGGCGGGGUAAUGGCCCACCAAGACUAUGAUCGGUA